This 422-nucleotide ribosomal RNA is filed under the name uncultured bacterium. Its description in RNAcentral is "partial 16S ribosomal RNA". It matches the Rfam family "Bacterial small subunit ribosomal RNA", at positions 360 to 774 of the family's 1533-position model. The record is from RNAcentral.
AAUAUUGGACAAUGGGCGAAAGCCUGAUCCAGCCAUCCCGCGUGUGCGAUGAAGGCCUUCGGGUUNUAACGCACUUUUGGCAGGGANGAAACAGCCUGGGCGAAUACCCUGGGCGACUGACGGUACCUGCAGAAUAAGCACCGGCUACCUACGUGCCAGCAGCCGCGGUAAUACGUAGGGUGCAAGCGUUAAUCGGAAUUACUGGGCGUAAAGCGUGCGCAGGCGGUUCGGAAAGAAAGGUGUGAAAUCCCAGGGCUUAACCUUGGAACUGCACUUUUAACUGCCGGGCUAGAGUACGUCAGAGGGGGGUAGAAUUCCACGUGUAGCAGUGAAAUGCGUAGAGAUGUGGAGGAAUACCGAUGGCGAAGGCAGCCCCCUGGGAUGAUACUGACGCUCAUGCACGAAAGCGUGGGGAGCAAACA